RNAcentral lists this ribosomal RNA (406 nucleotides) under uncultured bacterium. RNAcentral's name for it is "bacterial SSU rRNA". It matches the Rfam family "Bacterial small subunit ribosomal RNA", at positions 370 to 772 of the family's 1533-position model. The record is from RNAcentral.
AAUGGAGGCAACUCUGAUCCAGCCAUCCCGCGUGAAGGAUGAAGGUCCUCUGGAUUGUAAACUUCUUUUCUCUGGGAAUAAAAACUCCGAUUUACUCGGAGCUUGAAGGUACCAGAGGAAUAAGCACCGGCUAACUCCGUGCCAGCAGCCGCGGUAAUACGGAGGGUGCAAGCGUUAUCCGGAUUCACUGGGUUUAAAGGGUGCGUAGGUGGUCUUGUAAGUCAGUGGUGAAAUACCGCAGCUCAACUGCGGAACUGCCAUUGAUACUGCUUGACUUGAAUUAGGUUGAGGUGGAUGGAAUAUUACAUGUAGCGGUGAAAUGCUUAGAUAUGUAAUAGAACACCGAUUGCGAAGGCAGUUCACUAAACCUAUAUUGACACUGAGGCACGAAAGCGUGGGGAUCAAA